GAGGGUCUAGCUCAGUGGUAGAGUGCUUGCCUGUCAUGCAGAAGGCCCAGGUUUCAAUCCCAGAACUCUAG
RNAcentral lists this transfer RNA (71 nucleotides) under Mus musculus (house mouse). It matches the Rfam family "tRNA". From Rfam's summary of the family: Transfer RNA (tRNA) molecules are approximately 80 nucleotides in length. The record is from Rfam by way of RNAcentral. Lineage: Eukaryota; Metazoa; Chordata; Mammalia; Rodentia; Muridae.